Perca flavescens (yellow perch) is the source of this 251-nucleotide long non-coding RNA. RefSeq lists it as uncharacterized. The record is from RefSeq and is a predicted model, not a curated record. The transcript is spliced from 2 exons. NCBI's taxonomy places the organism in Eukaryota, Metazoa, Chordata, Actinopteri, Perciformes, Percidae.
UACAGAGACACAUGCACACACACACACACACACAGAGACACACGCACGCUGCACAAUAUAUAGUAUGUCUUAUCGUAAAACUCAUCGUCAGCUGGAAGAAGAUAUCGGCAGAAAACUUUACUUUAAAAUAUUGUGACCGAGCGAGCCAAUGAGGUUAAAGAUGUGAAGAGGAGGAAUGUCCUGCAGCAUAAAGAUACGUGUGGAUGGAAACUUGUCUCUCUUUACUCUGUAAUUAAAGUCUUUCAUCUUCA